Molecule: ribosomal RNA, 507 nt
Filed under: uncultured bacterium
Lineage: Bacteria
Description: bacterial SSU rRNA
Rfam family: Bacterial small subunit ribosomal RNA
Source: RNAcentral
GAUGAACGCUAGCGACAGGCCUAACACAUGCAAGUCGAGGGGCAUCGGGGUGUAGCAAUACGCUGCCGGCGACCGGCGGAUGGGUGAGUAACGCGUAUGCAACCUGCCUUCAGCAGGGGGAUAGCCCGUUGAAAGACGGAUUAAUACCCCGUAACACAGGGGCUCCGCAUGGAGAUUAUUGUUAAAGGGAUGCUUCCUUCGGGGAGUAUUCCGGCUGAAGAUGGGCAUGCGUUCCAUUAGGUAGUUGGUUGAGGUAACGGCUCACCAAGCCUGCGAUGGAUAGGGGAACUGAAAGGUUGGUCCCCCACACUGGUACUGAGACACGGACCAGACUCCUACGGGAGGCAGCAGUGAGGAAUCUUGGUCAAUGGACGGAAGUCUGAACCAGCCAUGUCGCGUGAAGGAGGACGGCCCUAAGGUUGUAAACUUCUUUUAGCAGGGGAAUAAAGUAUUCCACGAGAUGGGAUAUUGCAAGUACGCUGCGAAUAAGGAUCGGCUAACUCCGUG